Molecule: ribosomal RNA, 941 nt
Filed under: uncultured Actinomycetes bacterium
Lineage: Bacteria; Bacillati; Actinomycetota; Actinomycetes
Description: bacterial SSU rRNA
Rfam family: Bacterial small subunit ribosomal RNA
Source: RNAcentral
AGAGUUUGAUCAUGGCUCAGGACGAACGCUGGCGGCGUGCUUAACACAUGCAAGUCGAGCGAUGAAACACCUUCGGGUGUGAAUUAGCGGCGAACGGGUGAGGAACACGUGAAGAAUCUGCCUUCAACUCUGGGAUAACUCCGGGAAACCGGGGCUAAUACCGGAUAUGAGCCUUGAUCGCAUGAUCGGGGCUGGAAAGUUUUUCGGUUGAAGAUGACUUCGCGGCCUAUCAGCUUGUUGGUGAGGUAAUGGCUCACCAAGGCGACGACGGGUAGCCGGCCUGAGAGGGCGACCGGCCACACUGGGACUGAGACACGGCCCAGACUCCUACGGGAGGCAGCAGUGGGGAAUAUUGGGCAAUGGAGGAAACUCUGACCCAGCGACGCCGCGUGAGGGAUGAAGGCCUUCGGGUUGUAAACCUCUUUCAGUAGGGAAGAAGCGAAAGUGACGGUACCUACAGAAGAAGCACCGGCUAACUAUGUGCCAGCAGCCGCGGUAAUACAUAGGGUGCAAGCGUUGUCCGGAAUUAUUGGGCGUAAAGAGCUCGUAGGUGGUUCGAUACGUCGGAUGUGAAAAUCAGGGGCUCAACCCCUGACCUGCAUCCGAUACGGUCGAGCUAGAGUUUGGUAGGGGAGACUGGAAUUCCUGGUGUAGCGGUGGAAUGCGCAGAUAUCAGGAGGAACACCGAUGGCGAAGGCAGGUCUCUGGGCCAAUACUGACACUGAGGAGCGAAAGCGUGGGGAGCGAACAGGAUUAGAUACCCUGGUAGUCCACGCCGUAAACGGUGGGCGCUAGUUGUGCGAACCUUCCACGGUUUGUGCGACGCAGCUAACGCAUUAAGCGCCCCGCCUGGGGAGUACGAUCGCAAGAUUAAAACUCAAAGGAAUUGACGGGGCCCCGCACAAGCAGCGGAGCAUGCGGCUUAAUUCGACGCAACGCGA